UACGUAGGCAGCAAGCGUUGUUCGGAAUUACUGGGCGUAAAGAGUGUGUAGGCGGUGCUCUAAGUUCGGUGUGAAAUCUCCCGGCUCAACUGGGAGGGUGCGCCGGAAACUGGGGGUGCUGGAGCGCGGGAGAGGAAAGCGGAAUUCCUGGUGGUAGCGGUGAAAUGCGUAGAUAUCAGGAGGAACACCGGCGGUGUAGACGGCUUUCUGGACCGUAGCUGACGCUGAGACACGAAAGCGUGGGUAGCAAACAGG
RNAcentral lists this ribosomal RNA (255 nucleotides) under uncultured bacterium. RNAcentral describes it as "partial 16S ribosomal RNA". It matches the Rfam family "Bacterial small subunit ribosomal RNA", at positions 524 to 776 of the family's 1533-position model. The record is from RNAcentral.